RNAcentral lists this ribosomal RNA (559 nucleotides) under Serratia sp. N5-8. RNAcentral describes it as "bacterial SSU rRNA". It matches the Rfam family "Bacterial small subunit ribosomal RNA", at positions 137 to 692 of the family's 1533-position model. Lineage: Bacteria; Pseudomonadati; Pseudomonadota; Gammaproteobacteria; Enterobacterales; Yersiniaceae. The record is from RNAcentral.
AGGGGGAUAACUACUGGAAACGGUAGCUAAUACCGCAUAACGUCUUCGGACCAAAGUGGGGGACCUUCGGGCCUCACGCCAUCAGAUGUGCCCAGAUGGGAUUAGCUAGUAGGUGGGGUAAUGGCUCACCUAGGCGACGAUCCCUAGCUGGUCUGAGAGGAUGACCAGCCACACUGGAACUGAGACACGGUCCAGACUCCUACGGGAGGCAGCAGUGGGGAAUAUUGCACAAUGGGCGCAAGCCUGAUGCAGCCAUGCCGCGUGUGUGAAGAAGGCCUUCGGGUUGUAAAGCACUUUCAGCGAGGAGGAAGGGUGUGUGUUAAUAGCACAUUGCAUUGACGUUACUCGCAGAAGAAGCACCGGCUAACUCCGUGCCAGCAGCCGCGGUAAUACGGAGGGUGCAAGCGUUAAUCGGAAUUACUGGGCGUAAAGCGCACGCAGGCGGUUUGUUAAGUCAGAUGUGAAAUCCCCGCGCUUAACGUGGGAACUGCAUUUGAAACUGGCAAGCUAGAGUCUUGUAGAGGGGGGUAGAAUUCCAGGUGUAGCGGUGAAAUGCGUA